GUCUCAGGGUGUGUGUGCGUGCGAGUGGUGUCUCAGGGUGUGCGUGCGUGCGAGUGGUGUCUCAGGGUGUGUGUGCGUGUGUGCGUGCGAGUGGUGUCUCAGGGUGUGUGUGCGUGCGAGUGGUGUCUCAGGGUGUGUGUGCGUGCGAGUGGUGUCUCAGGGUGUGUGUGCGUGCGAGUGGUGUCUCAGGGGUGGUGUGCGUGCGAGUGGUGUCUCAGGGUGUGUGUGCGUGCGAGUGGUGUCUCAGGGUGUGUGUGCGUGUGUGCGUGCGAGUGGUGAGUGGGGGUGUGUGUGUGUGUGUGUGUGCGAGUGGUGUCUCAGGGUGUGUGUGUGUGUGUGUGUGCGAGUGGUGUCUCAGGGUGUGUGUGCGUGUGUGUGGUGCGAGUGGUGUCUCAGGGUGUGUGUGCGUGUGUGUGCGAGUGGUGUCUCAGGGUGUGUGUGUGUGUGUGCGAGUGGUGUCUCAGGGUGUGUGUGUGUGUGUGUGUGUGUGCGAGUGGUGUCUCAGGGUGUGUGUGCGUGCGUGCGAGUGGUGUCUCAGGGUGUGUGUGUGUGCGUGCGAG
This is a long non-coding RNA of Oncorhynchus tshawytscha (Chinook salmon), 560 nucleotides long. The record is from Ensembl. Lineage: Eukaryota; Metazoa; Chordata; Actinopteri; Salmoniformes; Salmonidae.